UCCUGGCUCAGGAGUGAACGCUGGCGGCGUGCUUAACACAUGCAAGUCGAACGGGCGGAGGGAGCUUGCUCCCGAAGCUAGUGGCGGACGGGUGAGUAACGCGUGGGUAACCUGCCUCAUACAGGGGGAUAACAGUGAGAAAUCACUGCUAAUACCGCAUAAGCGCACAGUUUCGCAUGAGACAGUGUGAAAAACUCCGGUGGUAUACGAUGGAUCCGCGUCUGAUUAGGUAGUUGGUGGGGUAACGGCCCACCAAGCCGACGAUCAGUAGCCGGCCUGAGAGGGUGAACGGCCACAUUGGGACUGAGACACGGCCCAAACUCCUACGGGAGGCAGCAGUGGGGAAUCUUCCGCAAUGGGCGCAAGCCUGACGGAGCAACGCCGCGUGAGUGAAGAAGGUUUUCGGAUCGUAAAGCUCUGUUGAGAGGGACGAGAGACAUAAUCAGGAAAUGGGUUAUGGAGGACGGUACCUUUCGAGGAAGCCACGGCUAACUACGUG
This 499-nucleotide ribosomal RNA is filed under the name uncultured bacterium. RNAcentral describes it as "bacterial SSU rRNA". It matches the Rfam family "Bacterial small subunit ribosomal RNA", at positions 17 to 507 of the family's 1533-position model. The record is from RNAcentral.